Molecule: ribosomal RNA, 664 nt
Filed under: Clostridium botulinum
Lineage: Bacteria; Bacillati; Bacillota; Clostridia; Eubacteriales; Clostridiaceae
Description: bacterial SSU rRNA
Rfam family: Bacterial small subunit ribosomal RNA
Source: RNAcentral
AAACCCUGACGCAGCAACGCCGCGUGGGUGAUGAAGGUCUUCGGAUUGUAAAGCCCUGUUUUCUAGGACGAUAAUGACGGUACUAGAGGAGGAAGCCACGGCUAACUACGUGCCAGCAGCCGCGGUAAUACGUAGGUGGCGAGCGUUGUCCGGAUUUACUGGGCGUAAAGGGUGCGUAGGCGGAUGUUUAAGUGGGAUGUGAAAUCCCCGGGCUUAACCUGGGGGCUGCAUUCCAAACUGGAUAUCUAGAGUGCAGGAGAGGAAAGCGGAAUUCCUAGUGUAGCGGUGAAAUGCGUAGAGAUUAGGAAGAACACCAGUGGCGAAGGCGGCUUUCUGGACUGUAACUGACGCUGAGGCACGAAAGCGUGGGUAGCAAACAGGAUUAGAUACCCUGGUAGUCCACGCCGUAAACGAUGGAUACUAGGUGUAGGGGGUAUCAACUCCCCCUGUGCCGCAGUUAACACAAUAAGUAUCCCGCCUGGGGAGUACGGUCGCAAGAUUAAAACUCAAAGGAAUUGACGGGGGCCCGCACAAGCAGCGGAGCAUGUGGUUUAAUUCGAAGCAACGCGAAGAACCUUACCUGGACUUGACAUCCCUUGCAUAGCCUAGAGAUAGGUGAAGCCCUUCGGGGCAAGGAGACAGGUGGUGCAUGGUUGUCGUCAGC